This 836-nucleotide long non-coding RNA is filed under the name Capra hircus (goat). Its description in RNAcentral is "lncRNA (ENSCHIG00010017903.1)". The record is from RNAcentral. Lineage: Eukaryota; Metazoa; Chordata; Mammalia; Artiodactyla; Bovidae.
ACGCACGCACACACACACACACACACACACACACACACACACGGCGUGAUGAUAGACCCCACGGAGUUUAGUUCGGACACAGAUUAGAAAGGAGCUGCACUCAUACUCAAAAUAGAUACAUGUUAAUUCUUCGCUGAGAAUAGGGAACUGUGGCUAGUUUUCAGGAGAAAAGUUCGGAAUGGGACCCAGCCGCAAGAACAGAGGCCAGAGACACGCCUACGCCGGCCUCUAGUUACCCGGCUCCAGGUGGAGGGACCGGCCGGCGCACAGACGCAUCAGGCGGCGGGCCGGGGCGGGGCGGGACGCCCGAGGGGCGGGGCCUCGCGGAGCUGGCGCAUGGCCCCAGGACAGAGGCCCGGGCGGGGCGGGGCUUAGGCGUCUCGGGAGGCGGGGCCUUACCGCGCAAGCGCACGGCCCUCGGGCGGGGGCUGCGGACGGGGCGGGGCCUCACCGCGCAGGCGGCCGCGUGUAGCUCCACGAUCCUCCACUCCGCCGCCGUUAACCCUUGUCCGGAGAUGAGGUGGACUCGGGCGGCUGAGAAGACUCCUGCAGGACGCGGUUACCGGAGAUCGUGCCUUCUCCACCCUCAGGACCUCCGCUCCAAGUUUCCCAUUGGCCUUCUGUCAGGACACGUGGACAUUCUUUUUCUCCUGUCAAACGAGCCUCGAGAUCUUUUCAGCAUAAUCGCUACAACUGAUAAAAUGCCAGAAAGUGAUCCGAGUCGCUCAGGUUCGUUUAUAGCCAGUUUGGGCUCAUCCAGGAAAGGCUUGAGUAUUUGCAGGUGCUGUGUGCUGGGAGGGGAGCCCUCCAGCGCCCGGCUCUUUGACCCAGACUAA